GGUCUGGUAGUGUAGCGGUAACACAUCUUCCAUGGAUAUCAGCGUCGCGGGUUUCCAUUCCGAAGAAGUGCCCUGUUCGAUCCAGGGUCAGGCCG
Mycena epipterygia is the source of this 95-nucleotide non-coding RNA. The record is from the annotation of a GenBank genome assembly. NCBI's taxonomy places the organism in Eukaryota, Fungi, Basidiomycota, Agaricomycetes, Agaricales, Mycenaceae.